This 443-nucleotide ribosomal RNA is filed under the name Salmonella enterica subsp. enterica serovar Bareilly. RNAcentral's name for it is "partial 23S ribosomal RNA". It matches the Rfam family "Bacterial large subunit ribosomal RNA", at positions 1292 to 1735 of the family's 2925-position model. The record is from RNAcentral. Lineage: Bacteria; Pseudomonadati; Pseudomonadota; Gammaproteobacteria; Enterobacterales; Enterobacteriaceae.
GAAUGCUGACAUAAGUAACGAUAAAGCGGGUGAAAAGCCCGCUCGCCGGAAGACCAAGGGUUCCUGUCCAACGUUAAUCGGGGCAGGGUGAGUCGACCCCUAAGGCGAGGCCGAAAGGCGUAGUCGAUGGGAAACGGGUUAAUAUUCCCGUACUUGGUGUUACUGCGAAGGGGGGACGGAGAAGGCUAUGUUGGCCGGGCGACGGUUGUCCCGGUUUAAGCGUGUAGGUGUGUGUUCCAGGUAAAUCCGGUCCACUUUAACACUGAGGCGUGAUGACGAGGCACUACGGUGCUGAAGCAACAAAUGCCCUGCUUCCAGGAAAAGCCUCUAAGCAUCAGGUAACAUCAAAUCGUACCCCAAACCGACACAGGUGGUCAGGUAGAGAAUACCAAGGCGCUUGAGAGAACUCGGGUGAAGGAACUAGGCAAAAUGGUGCCGUAACU